AUGGACCUCCUCAGUGCGCUGCCCGACGAACUCCUGGUCACCAUCCUGCAUGGCCUCGACACCCGCUCCGCGCUCGCCACCGCCAUCCUAGCCAAGCGCUGGGCGCGCCUCCCCCGCCAGCUCCGCGCCAUCGACUUUAGG
This 141-nucleotide ribosomal RNA is filed under the name Triticum aestivum (bread wheat). Its description in RNAcentral is "partial small subunit ribosomal RNA". The record is from RNAcentral. Lineage: Eukaryota; Viridiplantae; Streptophyta; Magnoliopsida; Poales; Poaceae.